GCGCAGCAGUCGAGAAACUUCACACUGUGCGAAAGCACGAUGAGGGAAUCCCAAGUGCUUGCACGUAAGUGUAAGCUGUUCCUCUGUUUAAAACGCAGAGAGAGUAAGGGCUGGGUAAGACGGGUGCCAGCCGCCGCGGUAAUACCUGCAGCUCAAGUGGUGACCGUUAUUAUUGGGCCUAAAACGUCCGUAGCCGGUUUAAUAAAUGCCUGGGUAAAUCGUGUAGCUUAACUAUACGAAUUCCGGGUAGACUGUUAAACUCGAGACCGGGAGAAGUUAGAGGUACUCCUGGGGUAGAGGUGAAAUUCUGUAAUCCUAGGGGACCACCAGUGGCGAAGGCGUCUAACUAGAACGGGUCUGACGGUGAGGGACGAAGCCCUGGGGCGCAAACGGGAUUAGAUACCCGUGUAGU
RNAcentral lists this ribosomal RNA (412 nucleotides) under uncultured microorganism. RNAcentral's name for it is "bacterial SSU rRNA". It matches the Rfam family "Archaeal small subunit ribosomal RNA", at positions 330 to 745 of the family's 1478-position model. The record is from RNAcentral.